GGGGAUGACAGGCUUCGACGAUUGAAGCUGGUCACGGACUGCGAGCCGAGCGGCGCCGACCUCGUAAACUCAGCGCAAAACCUAAGUGCCAACAGCACUAACUACGCUGCUCUCCCCCUCGCCGCCUAAACGGUAAGGGAUGACAGCCCCGGCCGCUAAUACCGGCCGCGCCCACCGCCUCCCUCGCUCUGGCAGGGAACGGCUGGGCGUCACAAUGCCAGAGUGCUGCCGGCUACACCGCUAACCCGGCCUAAGGCCGCAAGGCACAGCGGUUCGCCCUUGGGUGUGGGUGGUCUCAGGUCCACCCCCUGGGCUAAAUAAUCCAGAGACUACGCUCGUAGACGUUCGCUGACUUAAUCUUUCGGACGCGGGUUCGAUUCCCGCCAUCUCCACCU
This 395-nucleotide transfer-messenger RNA is filed under the name Anaerolineales. Its description in RNAcentral is "SCUK01 sp004297445 Standard tmRNA". It matches the Rfam family "transfer-messenger RNA". From Rfam's summary of the family: Bacterial tmRNA, also known as 10Sa RNA or SsrA, is named for its dual tRNA and mRNA-like properties. Its role is to liberate the mRNA from a stalled ribosome. Lineage: Bacteria; Bacillati; Chloroflexota; Anaerolineae. RNAcentral also lists the same sequence under 1 other name. The record is from RNAcentral.